UUUUGAUGACUAGGCUUUGUAUUGGAUCCAAGUAAUUAAAACGACAGAUGAGAUAGGUCAAUUUUCCACCUGAUAACGUAACCACCAACGUUAACGGUUAUCUAAACAAUCUACACUUAGAUAUUCUCGAUCUUUCAUCCUAACCUACGAAUCUUUCAAAAACAACACACAUGUACACCCUAUUCUAACACAACCCUCUCCGC
This 203-nucleotide long non-coding RNA is filed under the name Vigna radiata. RNAcentral's name for it is "long non-coding RNA (VRAD_LNC007523)". The record is from RNAcentral. Lineage: Eukaryota; Viridiplantae; Streptophyta; Magnoliopsida; Fabales; Fabaceae.